CAACAGGUGGGGGCGCGCAGGGGAGGGGCCGCGGCCGGACCAGCAGAGCGCUUCAAGGGCUGGCGCUGGGACGGACUUUCCACACUGUCUUUAGGGACUGGGGUUAGCAGACAGCCCUUGGCCACCACUGUGUCCUUACUCUGUCGCUUUACUUGGGGUUGGACCUCCCCUUUCCAGCUCUGGCGUGUGACCCCGCACCGAGCGUGGUGUCAAGACCACCACCAGCUGGGGCCGUGGGAGCGAAGGUGCCCCAGGCUCGGGGAAGAUGCGGACCUUUUACCCGCUCCGCAAGUGAUUGUUGCGCGCUCUGGUGAGGGGACAGUGGUACCGCGAUUUCCCAUGUGUCAGCUUCGGGACUCAGAUGUGCUUUUGUGUCUCUUUGAUUAGCAAAAGCAAAACGAAUUCCUCCCCGAACACUAAGCUUCCUGGAAACUUCCCUAGACCUAAACUUGAGAACCGCAUAUAAACGAACCUUGAGGGUUCUGUUGUCGGUAGCGGAUUACCUGAUUGCAAACUGAGCAAGUUUAAAACGGAGUGGGCUGCUUUGGGCUGCACAGCCGCCUGGCAUUGUGACAGCUGAGCAGGAGGCAGAGGUGAGAGCCCAAGAUGGACUAAAAAUGCCCCAGCAGCUAGGAGCCCAGCCUCGUUGAAAGGAGGAACAUUCGGUGCAGGUGUCGGAACCUUAUCCUUUAUGAAACGGGACAGCUCACAGGAUUACAUUUCUAAGCCAAUCCUGUGAUGAUCCUCCAUGAAAUUCUCUAUUUUCCUUGCAUGUGGUCAAAACUGAGCCUCACUGGAACAAUUGAAAACAAAUAUUCUCGACAAAUCUUAAGAAUCGUUUUGAAAAUCAAAAGGAAUUGGCUCAUGUGGUUGUGGAGGGUUAGUGAGUCCAAAACCUGUUCGUGCAGGCCAGCAGACUGGAGACCCACAGGAGAGUUGCCCUUCAAGUCCAAGGUCAGUCCACCUGCAGAAUUCUUUUUUGCUCAGGGGGAAGGUCAGUUUUUGUUCUAA
RNAcentral lists this long non-coding RNA (1011 nucleotides) under Papio anubis (olive baboon). Its description in RNAcentral is "lncRNA (ENSPANG00000037993.1)". Lineage: Eukaryota; Metazoa; Chordata; Mammalia; Primates; Cercopithecidae. The record is from RNAcentral.